Molecule: ribosomal RNA, 418 nt
Filed under: Vibrio parahaemolyticus
Lineage: Bacteria; Pseudomonadati; Pseudomonadota; Gammaproteobacteria; Vibrionales; Vibrionaceae
Description: partial 23S ribosomal RNA
Rfam family: Bacterial large subunit ribosomal RNA
Source: RNAcentral
CGGAAGAUGUAACGGGGCUAAGUAGUAAACCGAAGCUGCGGCAAUGUGCUUUUGCACAUUGGGUAGGGGAGCGUUCUGUAAGCGGUUGAAGGUGUGUGGUAACGCAUGCUGGACGUAUCAGAAGUGCGAAUGCUGACAUGAGUAACGAUAAAGGGGGUGAAAAACCUCCUCGCCGGAAGACCAAGGGUUCCUGUCCAACGUUAAUCGGGGCAGGGUAAGUCGACCCCUAAGGCGAGGCCGAAAGGCGUAGUCGAUGGGAAACGGGUUAAUAUUCCCGUACUUCUUACAAUUGCGAUGGGGGGACGGAGAAGGCUAGGUGGGCCUGGCGACGGUUGUCCAGGUUCAAGUGCGUAGGCUUAAGAGUUAGGUAAAUCCGGCUCUUUUUAAGGCUGAGACACGACGUCGAGCACCUACGGGU